UAUAGAAAAAUUUAUUUAUUUAAAUGAUUUUAGAAUCAACUUAAUUUUUAGUUUUUUAAAUUAAAAAAUAUUAAUAAUUAUAGCUAAUUAGUAAUGAAAAUGAAAAUUUAAAAUUUUUAUAUUUAUAAAAGAAGAAUUUAUUUUUUGUACCUUGUGUAUCAGGGUUGAUUUAUUAAAAAUUAAUUAUUUUAAUUUUCUCGAAUUAAUAAGAUCUAGAAAUUUAUUAUUUAAUUGUUUUAUAAAUUUUUAUUAUAAAUUUUUAGAAGUGAAACGUUUUUCGUUUAUUAAUAUAUCUAGUUUUUUAAGAAAUAAAUUUAAUUUAGAAAAUGAAAUUUUAAUAAUUUUAUAUUAAUUAUUAUAUUUUAUUAUUUAAAAAUUUAAGGGAUAAGCUUUAAAUUUUAUUAUUAAAAAUUUAUUUUUAUGAAUAUUUUAGUUUUACUAAUAUUGUAAAUCUUUCUAUAAUAUAAAAGUUAUUUUAUUCAAAAUUUAGAUUUUUUAGAAGUUUUAAUUUUUUUAUUAAAAUUAAAAAAUUAAUUAUAAAAUUUUUUGUGUUUAUGAUUAAAUUAGUAAAAUAAAUUUUAUAAAGUUAAUUUUUUUUAAAGAUUUUAUUAAGGAACUCGGCAAAUUUAUUUUUCGCCUGUUUAUUAAAAACAUGUCUUUUUGAAAAAAAUAUAAAGUCUAGUCUGCUCAAUGAAUAAAAAUUUAAAUAGCUGCAGUAUUUUGACUGUACAAAGGUAGCAUAAUAAUUAGUUUUUUAAUUGAAAGCUGGAAUGAAGGAUUGGACGAGAAAAUUACUGUCUCAAUAAAAAUAAUUGAAUUUAACUUUUUAGUUAAAAGGCUAAAAUUUUUUUAAAAGACGAGAAGACCCUAUAGAGUUUUAUAGUUAAUAUUUUUUAAUAUAAUUAGAAUUAUUAAUUUUUAAAUUUGUAUUAAUUAUUUGGUUGGGGUGAUUAAAAAAUUUAUAAAACUUUUUUAUUUUAUUAAUUAUUUAUUUAUAAAUUAAUUUUCUAGAUUUUUAAAAUUAAAAUAAAUUACCUUAGGGAUAACAGCGUAAUAUAUUUUUAAAGUUCUUAUUUAAAAAUUUGUUUGCGACCUCGAUGUUGGAUUAAAAUUUAUUAUUGGUGCAGGAGCUAAAUAAUUAAGUCUGUUCGACUUUUAAAAUUUUACAUGAUCUGAGUUUAAACCGGUGUAAGCCAGGUUGGUUUCUAUCUUUAAAAAUGAAAAAUCUUUUAGUACGAGAGGACCAAAGAUUUAUUAAAAUAAUUUUUUUAUGAAUAAAAUU
Molecule: ribosomal RNA, 1282 nt
Filed under: Cantharis plagiata
Lineage: Eukaryota; Metazoa; Arthropoda; Insecta; Coleoptera; Cantharidae
Description: 16S ribosomal RNA
Source: RNAcentral